This 301-nucleotide ribosomal RNA is filed under the name uncultured bacterium. RNAcentral describes it as "partial 16S ribosomal RNA". It matches the Rfam family "Bacterial small subunit ribosomal RNA", at positions 509 to 807 of the family's 1533-position model. The record is from RNAcentral.
CAGUCGCCGCGGGAACACGUAGGUGGCAAGCGUUGUCCGGAAUUAUUGGGCGUAAAGGGCUCGCAGGUGGUUUCUUAAGUCUGAUGUGAAAGCCCCCGGCUCAACCGGGGAGGGUCAUUGGAAACUGGGAAACUUGAGUGCGGAAGAGGAGAGUGGAAUUCCACGUGUAGCCGUGAAAUGCGUAGAGAUGUGGAGGAACACCAGUGGCGAAGGCGACUCUCUGGUCUGUAACUGACGCUGAGGAGCGAAAGCGUGGGGAGCGAACAGGAUUAGAUACCCCUGUAGUCCCUGUCUCUUAUAC